GUAGCGUGGCCGAGCGGUCCAAGGCGCUGGAUUAAGGCUCCAGUCUCUUCGGAGGCGAGGGUUCGAAUCAGUAUACA
This 77-nucleotide transfer RNA is filed under the name Anguilla anguilla (European eel). RNAcentral's name for it is "tRNA-Leu". Lineage: Eukaryota; Metazoa; Chordata; Actinopteri; Anguilliformes; Anguillidae. The record is from RNAcentral.